GAUCGAGCUUCGGGGUUAGCGGCGGACGGGUGAGUAACACGUAUGCAACCUGCCUGUAAGAUCGGGAUAACUACCGGAAACGGUAGCUAAGACCGGAUAGCUAACCGCAUCGCAUGAUGCGGUUAUGAAACACGGCGCAAGCUGUGGCUUACAGAUGGGCCUGCGGCGCAUUAGCUAGUUGGUGGGGUAACGGCCCACCAAGGCGACGAUGCGUAGCCGACCUGAGAGGGUGAUCGGCCACACUGGGACUGAGACACGGCCCAGACUCCUACGGGAGGCAGCAGUAGGGAAUCUUCCGCAAUGGACGCAAGUCUGACGGAGCAACGCCGCGUGAGUGAUGAAGGUUUUCGGAUCGUAAAGCUCUGUUGCCAGGGAAGAACGCCUUGGGGAGUAACUGCCCCGAGGGUGACGGUACCUGAGAAGAAAGCCCCGGCUAACUACGUGCCAGCAGCCGCGGUAAUACGUAGGGGGCAAGCGUUGUCCGGAAUUAUUGGGCGUAAAGCGCGCGCAGGCGGCCGCUUAAGUUUGGUGUUUAAGCCCGGGGCUCAAC
Molecule: ribosomal RNA, 550 nt
Filed under: Paenibacillus sp.
Lineage: Bacteria; Bacillati; Bacillota; Bacilli; Caryophanales; Paenibacillaceae
Also listed under: 1 other name
Description: bacterial SSU rRNA
Rfam family: Bacterial small subunit ribosomal RNA
Source: RNAcentral